AGGUUAACCGAAUAGGGGAGCCGUAGGGAAACCGAGUCUUAACCGGGCGUUAAGUUGCAGGGUAUAGACCCGAAACCCGGUGAUCUAGCCAUGGGCAGGUUGAAGGUUGGGUAACACUAACUGGAGGACCGAACCGACUAAUGUUGAAAAAUUAGCGGAUGACCUGUGGCUGGGGGUGAAAGGCCAAUCAAACCGGGAGAUAGCUGGUUCUCCCCGAAAGCUAUUUAGGUAGCGCCUCGUGAAUUCAUCUCCGGGGGUAGAGCACUGUUUCGGCUAGGGGGCCAUCCCGGCUUACCAACCCGAUGCAAACUGCGAAUACCGGAGAAUGUUAUCACGGGAGACACACGGCGGGUGCUAACGUCCGUCGUGAAGAGGGAAACAACCCAGACCGCCAGCUAAGGUCCCAAAGUCAUGGUUAAGUGGGAAACGAUGUGGGAAGGCCCAGACAGCCAGGAUGUUGGCUUAGAAGCAGCCAUCAUUUAAAGAAAGCGUAAUAGCUCACUGGUCGAGUCGGCCUGCGCGGAAGAUGUAACGGGGCUAAACCAUGCACCGAAGCUGCGGCAGCGACACUGUGUGUUGUUGGGUAGGGGAGCGUUCUGUAAGCCUGUGAAGGUGUGUCGUGAGGCAUGCUGGAGGUAUCAGAAGUGCGAAUGCUGACAUAAGUAACGAUAAAGCGGGUGAAAAGCCCGCUCGCCGGAAGACCAAGGGUUCCUGUCCAACGUUAAUCGGGGCAGGGUGAGUCGACCCCUAAGGCGAGGCCGAAAGGCGUAGUCGAUGGGAAACGGGUUAAUAUUCCCGUACUUGGUGUUACUGCGAAGGGGGGACGGAGAAGGCUAUGUUGGCCGGGCGACGGUUGUCCCGGUUUAAGCGUGUAGGUGUGUGUUCCAGGUAAAUCCGGUUCACUUUAACACUGAGGCGUGAUGACGAGGCACUACGGUGCUGAAGCAACAAAUGCCCUGCUUCCAGGAAAAGCCUCUAAGCAUCAGGUAACAUCAAAUCGUACCCCAAACCGACACAGGUGGUCAGGUAGAGAAUACCAAGGCGCUUGAGAGAACUCGGGUGAAGGAACUAGGCAAAAUGGUGCCGUAACUUCGGGAGAAGGCACGCUGACACGUAGGUGAAGUGAUUUACUCAUGGAGCUGAAGUCAGUCGAAGAUACCAGCUGGCUGCAACUGUUUAUUAAAAACACAGCACUGUGCAAACACGAAAGUGGACGUAUACGGUGUGACGCCUGCCCGGUGCCGGAAGGUUAAUUGAUGGGGUCAGCGCAAGCGAAGCUCCUGAUCGAAGCCCCGGUAAACGGCGGCCGUAACUAUAACGGUCCUAAGGUAGCGAAAUUCCUUGUCGGGUAAGUUCCGACCUGCACGAAUGGCGUAAUGAUGGCCAGGCUGUCUCCACCCGAGACUCAGUGAAAUUGAACUCGCUGUGAAGAUGCAGUGUACCCGCGGCAAGACGGAAAGACCCCGUGAACCUUUACUAUAGCUUGACACUGAACAUUGAGCCUUGAUGUGUAGGAUAGGUGGGAGGCUUUGAAGUGUGGACGCCAGUCUGCAUGGAGCCGACCUUGAAAUACCACCCUUUAAUGUUUGAUGUUCUAACGUGGACCCGUGAUCCGGGUUGCGGACAGUGUCUGGUGGGUAGUUUGACUGGGGCGGUCUCCUCCUAAAGAGUAACGGAGGAGCACGAAGGUUGGCUAAUCCUGGUCGGACAUCAGGAGGUUAGUGCAAUGGCAUAAGCCAGCUUGACUGCGAGCGUGACGGCGCGAGCAGGUGCGAAAGCAGGUCAUAGUGAUCCGGUGGUUCUGAAUGGAAGGGCCAUCGCUCAACGGAUAAAAGGUACUCCGGGGAUAACAGGCUGAUACCGCCCAAGAGUUCAUAUCGACGGCGGUGUUUGGCACCUCGAUGUCGGCUCAUCACAUCCUGGGGCUGAAGUAGGUCCCAAGGGUAUGGCUGUUCGCCAUUUAAAGUGGUACGCGAGCUGGGUUUAGAACGUCGUGAGACAGUUCGGUCCCUAUCUGCCGUGGGCGCUGGAGAACUGAGGGGGGCUGCUCCUAGUACGAGAGGACCGGAGUGGACGCAUCACUGGUGUUCGGGUUGUCAUGCCAAUGGCACUGCCCGGUAGCUAAAUGCGGAAGAGAUAAGUGCUGAAAGCAUCUAAGCACGAAACUUGCCCCGAGAUGAGUUCUCCCUGAGACUUAAAGUCUCCUGAAGGAACGUUGAAGACGACGACGUUGAUAGGCCGGGUGUGUAAGCGCAGCGAUGCGUUGAGCUAACCGGUACUAAUGAACCGUGAGGCUUAACCUUACAACGCCGAAG
This 2315-nucleotide ribosomal RNA is filed under the name Salmonella enterica subsp. enterica serovar Newport. Its description in RNAcentral is "partial 23S ribosomal RNA". It matches the Rfam family "Bacterial large subunit ribosomal RNA", at positions 643 to 2925 of the family's 2925-position model. Lineage: Bacteria; Pseudomonadati; Pseudomonadota; Gammaproteobacteria; Enterobacterales; Enterobacteriaceae. The record is from RNAcentral.